This 567-nucleotide ribosomal RNA is filed under the name uncultured bacterium. RNAcentral's name for it is "bacterial SSU rRNA". It matches the Rfam family "Bacterial small subunit ribosomal RNA", at positions 102 to 657 of the family's 1533-position model. The record is from RNAcentral.
ACGGGUGAGUAACACGUAAGGAACCUGCCUCAAGGAUUGGGAUAACUCCGAGAAAUCGGAGCUAAUACCGGAUAGUUCAACGGACCGCAUGGUCCGCUGAUGAAAGACGCUCCGGCGUCACCUUGAGAUGGCCUUGCGGUGCAUUAGCUAGUUGGUGGGGUAACGGCCCACCAAGGCGACGAUGCAUAGCCGACCUGAGAGGGUGAUCGGCCACACUGGGACUGAGACACGGCCCAGACUCCUACGGGAGGCAGCAGUAGGGAAUCUUCCACAAUGGACGAAAGUCUGAUGGAGCAACGCCGCGUGAGUGAUGAAGGUUUUCGGAUCGUAAAACUCUGUUGUAAGGGAAGAACACGUACGAGAGGAAAUGCUCGUACCUUGACGGUACCUUACGAGAAAGCCACGGCUAACUACGUGCCAGCAGCCGCGGUAAUACGUAGGUGGCAAGCGUUGUCCGGAAUUAUUGGGCGUAAAGCGCGCGCAGGCGGCCUUUUAAGUCUGAUGUGAAAGCCCCCGGCUCAACCGGGGAGGGCCAUUGGAAACUGGAAGGCUUGAGUACAGAAGAGA